This 466-nucleotide ribosomal RNA is filed under the name uncultured bacterium. RNAcentral's name for it is "partial 16S ribosomal RNA". It matches the Rfam family "Bacterial small subunit ribosomal RNA", at positions 28 to 507 of the family's 1533-position model. The record is from RNAcentral.
GAUGAACGCUGGCGGCGUGCUUAACACAUGCAAGUCGAACGAUGAAGCCCAGCUUGCUGGGUGGAUUAGUGGCGAACGGGUGAGUAACACGUGAGUAACCUGCCCUUAACUCUGGGAUAAGCCUGGGAAACUGGGUCUAAUACCGGAUAGGAGCGCCUACCGCAUGGUGGGUGUUGGAAAGAUUUAUCGGUUUUGGAUGGACUCGCGGCCUAUCAGCUUGUUGGUGAGGUAAUGGCUCACCAAGGCGACGACGGGUAGCCGGCCUGAGAGGGUGACCGGCCACACUGGGACUGAGACACGGCCCAGACUCCUACGGGAGGCAGCAGUGGGGAAUAUUGCACAAUGGGCGAAAGCCUGAUGCAGCGACGCCGCGUGAGGGAUGACGGCCUUCGGGUUGUAAACCUCUUUCAGUAGGGAAGAAGCGAAAAUGACGGUACCUGCAGAAGAAGCACCGGCUAACUACGUG